Molecule: ribosomal RNA, 468 nt
Filed under: uncultured bacterium
Lineage: Bacteria
Description: partial 16S ribosomal RNA
Rfam family: Bacterial small subunit ribosomal RNA
Source: RNAcentral
GACGAACGCUGGCGGCGUGCUUAACACAUGCAAGUCGAACGGAAAGGCCCUGCUUUUGUGGGGUGCUCGAGUGGCGAACGGGUGAGUAACACGUGAGUAACCUGCUCUUGACUUUGGGAUAACUUCAGGAAACUGGGGCUAAUACCGGAUAGGAGCUCCUGCUGCAUGGUGGGGGGUGGAAAGUUUCGGCGGUUGGGGAUGGACUCGCGGCUUAUCAGCUUGUUGGUGGGGUAGUGGCUUACCAAGGCUUUGACGGGUAGACGGCCUGGGAGGGUGACCGGCCACAUUGGGACUGAGGUACGGCCCAGACUCCUACAGGAGGCAGCGGUGGGGAAUAUUGCACAAUGGGCGGAAGCCUGAUGCAGCAACGCCGCGUGCGGGAUGACGGCCUUCGGGUUGUAAACCGCUUUCGCCUGUGACGAAGCGUGAGUGACGGUAAUGGGUAAAGAAGCACCGGCUAACUACGUG